Molecule: long non-coding RNA, 1149 nt
Filed under: Mytilus galloprovincialis (Mediterranean mussel)
Lineage: Eukaryota; Metazoa; Mollusca; Bivalvia; Mytilida; Mytilidae
Source: RNAcentral
UAAUAAAAAAAAUAACCAUUGAAUCUUCCUCAAUUGAAAAAAAGGCAACUUGAAAAAAAAGUAUUAAGACAUUCGACUGUUUUCAUAUUUCUAACAAUAUUUAAUUAUAUGUGAUAAGGUUAUAUUUUUGCCAGGCUUUAAUGAAAACCAAAGAAAUCUAAAGUUUGGGGUGAAAUCCAUAGCACCCCAUUAAAAGUAAAUGGUCUGUACUGAAAUGUUUUUAAUGCAUAAAAAAAAUUGGCGGCAUAGCUCCUAAGGACAUGUUUUAAUUGAAUUCACACAGGCCACACAGUUUGGGUAUAUUUAAUAUUGUAAGAAAGAGAAUAAUUGCAAUGAGUGGGGCAGCCCCCCUUAUCCUAAAGGAGCAUACUCAUUGCAAUCGAAGAUAGAUUUAAUAUAGAGAGAGUAUAUUUAUUUUUCAAGCUAACCAUUUAUUUUCUCUACAUCUUUGUGUAGUUAGGGUUGCUUCUUAUUGAUUUGGCAUGAUCUAUAUCCAUUAACUUUUCAAAUGAGCCCUUCCUCCGUACAGGCGUGUUUACAGAUAUCCAUGAAGAUUUAAGUCACGGAGGAGUGGUUUCAUCUUUGUCGUCUUCACAACGAUUUGUAGAAAAUAUGCCAUACUUCAAGCUGCUGUCGAAUUAUUUAACCACUGAAAUUGGUUCCAUAAAGUCAGGCUCCAGAUUCUGUACCUGAUUUGUUUGAGACAGAAUGGUUAUCGUGUCAGUUAUGAAUAUCCGCUGCAUCAUCGUCAAUGAUAUCAUCACACAUCAUAACAUGUGCCUGAAUCUGUAUAAACAGUUUACUAAUAAACUUUUUUGUUUGUUAUUUGUCUUAAAAUUGACACGAGACGACAGCGUAAAGUACUCCUCCGUGACUUCAUGGAUACCUGUAAACAAUUUCCAUGUGCUUUAUCAUUAAAUGGUCACAUGAACGCUUGACGGGAAGCUAAGAAAAACCGAACUUGAAAAUGCGUAAUUGACCCAGACUUUAAAUCAUUUCCGGAAAGGACACCAAAGUUCCGGAUCGCGUCAAUAGAAGUAUUAAAAAAAAAUUUCUUCAAAUUUAAAGCAAUAAAAUUUUCACAGUCGGGAGGAUUUUCAAGGGUCGGUCGGUAAACUGCAAACAAACAUAUUUUAAUUUAAGCCUUAU